GUUCUCUAGUCAGUGCUGCUGCUGGAAACCAGAGUCUUCUUUUGUUUUCCCUCUCACCUCUGGCUGCCUCUCUCUCCCCUCAAAGGUCAGAGCAGUGCCAAGGACAGAAGAGAGAGUAGAUCCAGCCUUGGCCCUGCUAGGCUGGGCAGCCUGGCAGGUAGAGUCAGCAGGGAUAGAGCUUGCUUUCCUGUUCACGAUCUUCAGCCAAGUUCAGGGAGGUCUGAAUACUGAGGCCUUCAUAGCCACUGCACCCCAGGUAGCUCAGGAGAACCUCCGAGCGCAGGAGUGCAAAGGCUGGCAUUCUUCAGGCUCUGAGGCUGUCCCUUCCGGUGGAGGUGAACUGCUUCUUAUUGAUGUGGACAAGACUGUGGAUGGAGACUGACAGGAUCCUGGCUUGGGGGCCUUCCGGCAGGGCUGGCUGCUGGGCUGGCAGGCUCUGGCGCUCCCCUUCCCCAGAACUGACUUUGUUCCUGGCAGCCAUGGUGGCUGCACUAACCACAUUCUGCCUCCACCUUUGCACUAAGAAAAGCAAAUAAGCAGACCACAGAACUGUUUGCAUUUGCCCCAGAUGCUCCCUGGCUGCGGGAAGAGACACAGCAAACAGCAGUGCUGCGGAGGUAUGUCUAAUUGCAGAUACUUUUUGUUCAUCAUCGUAUUGAACGUCGUUGCGUGUUCCAGCAGCCAUCAACUUCCUCAGGAGGAAAAUUCAAUUGUGCACUGAGCGACAGCGUGAAGAGACCGGGCCAAGCAGGCAGGGUGCUGCAGGUCAACAAGGUGCUGCUGUGCUCCUGAAGCCUUCAGGAGCCUCAGCCUGAGAGCUCAGGAAAGGGUGGGGCUCCAACCCACCUGGCUUUCCGCCUUACUGAGCUCCAAACACAGGCUUGUUCCACAUCACGGAGAGCCCUUAUCCUGCAUGUGCGUCUCGCUCCCUGACAAGCCUAUUUGUGCCUUGUCACCAGAAAUGUACCUUUUUUCUUCUCUCAUCUGUCCCUGACACCCCCAGCUUAUCUAGCCUGAAGAGAGGCUAUCAAAAUGGUAAUAGCCAGAUGGAAAACAAGGAAAAAUAAGCCCUUUCCCAUAAGGAAGCAAUACGGAUUUUGGAACCGGAGAAAUUUCUACUAUUCUCCCAACAUCAUUCCCUCCGCCUUGGGUGUGCUUCCGAGAGGGUUGGAGGUGUCACCUGCCGUACCCUAGGACUGGCUGAGGGAAAACACACCUGAAGAUUUCCUGUAAAUGAAAAAGUGAAUCACUAAAAGGGGGAGCUGUCAUCCCCUGGCAUUUCUCUGUGCACAGGCGACCUAGUGUUGGGAUGGCAGCAGAACCCAGACAACUGAGCCAACACGUGGAGGGAAGCCCUCACUAGCCUGCAUUCGACUUGUGUGAGAGAGAAGUGAACGUUUACGUGCAAAGCCACUGAGCUUUUGUUGUUGUUCCUGCAGCACAGGGCAUUCUAACCUGCCUAAUACUGAAACGAGUACUGUUAGGCUUGAUCUGUGAAGAGGAGAACAUAAAAGGCCUGCAUAUUCUCUUUUAGGUCCUAAAAAUGCAGUGCUCUCUUCUUGGCCUUGCUGUGACCAGGCUGUUUAAAAUCUGUCACCCCGCCAGUCGCCACUGUAUUAUCUUGCUUUAUUUUUCUUCAUAGUAUUUAUUGAUAAUUUAUGUGCUUAUUAUGUCUCCCUGACUGGAAUGUAAGUUUCAUGAAGGCCAGGACUUGUGCCUUAAAACAGGGCCUGGCACAGAGUAGGCACUUAAUGUGUAUUUUUGAAAGUGAAUUGUGGGCUGAAAAUUCUGAUUUUUCAAAAAAGUUAAUAAAGGUGAAGGCCUUCCUUGCCUUUAUUAAAUGCUUAAAAUGGAUCAGUGGUGGGGUAGAGAUGGAAGGAGUCACACACAUACUGUACCUUCAACGGGUUUCAAUCUAACUGGGAGACAAAAUAUAGAAACAUGAAACAAGCAGAGAGCAAAUCUCUAGGUACCUAAGAGUUAAUUAAGUACUAAGGGUGUACUUAAAUUUGUGAGGGAGGAAGGGGAAGAGGACUGUCCAGAGGUAUGGCUAACUACCAAAAACUCUCUGGAGCAGACAGCUUUGGCAGCAGACUGAGAGCAGGGUUCUCCAAUUUGAGCUUGCAGAAGAAUCACCUGGAAGGCUUCUAAAACCUAUACUAUUGGCCCCACCCCCAGAGUUUCUGAUUCACUAGAUCUGGAUUAUACCUGGGGAUCUUUUUUUUUUUAGACAGAGUCUUGCUCUGUUACCCAGGCUGGAGUGCAGUGGCACUAUCAUAGCUCACUGCAACCUCGAACUCCCCGGUUCAAGGGAUCCUCCCACCUCAGCCUCCCCAGUAACUGGGAUUUCAGGCAUGUGCCACCAAGCCCGGCUAAUUUUUUUUUUUUUUUUU
This is a long non-coding RNA of Homo sapiens (human), 2393 nucleotides long. Ensembl annotates it as tumor suppressor candidate 8. Its record names the gene TUSC8. NCBI's taxonomy places the organism in Eukaryota, Metazoa, Chordata, Mammalia, Primates, Hominidae. The record is from Ensembl.